Long non-coding RNA from Mauremys reevesii (Reeves's turtle), 213 nucleotides. RefSeq lists it as uncharacterized. The record is from RefSeq and is a predicted model, not a curated record. The transcript is spliced from 3 exons. Lineage: Eukaryota; Metazoa; Chordata; Testudines; Geoemydidae.
GUUUACACCAAGUAGGGGAGCAGGUGCCUUAAAGUCUGGCUUCGCCCCCAAAAGACUGAACAGCUCUGAUUUAUGGGAUUUAUAGCCCCUAAGGAGCAGGUGACUGAUCAUAUGACUAAGAACAUGGCCCACUGGGAAAAGAGGCAGGAAAUAAAAGAACGCUGUUUGUGUGGUGUGUGACACUCCAACACAUGGGAGGGAUUUGAGACAUGG